GCUAGCAGCUGGCUCUCAGCAACUCUCGCAUGGUCGCCUGCUAAAGCUAAGCAGGGCUGCCCCCGGUCAGUACCUGGAUGGAAGACCACAUGGGAAAGUUAGGUUACUGCCGGAA
Molecule: ribosomal RNA, 115 nt
Filed under: Danio rerio (zebrafish)
Lineage: Eukaryota; Metazoa; Chordata; Actinopteri; Cypriniformes; Danionidae
Source: RNAcentral